RNAcentral lists this ribosomal RNA (516 nucleotides) under Vibrio parahaemolyticus. Its description in RNAcentral is "bacterial SSU rRNA". It matches the Rfam family "Bacterial small subunit ribosomal RNA", at positions 488 to 1004 of the family's 1533-position model. Lineage: Bacteria; Pseudomonadati; Pseudomonadota; Gammaproteobacteria; Vibrionales; Vibrionaceae. The record is from RNAcentral.
AGCACCGGCUAACUCCGUGCCAGCAGCCGCGGUAAUACGGAGGGUGCGAGCGUUAAUCGGAAUUACUGGGCGUAAAGCGCAUGCAGGUGGUUUGUUAAGUCAGAUGUGAAAGCCCGGGGCUCAACCUCGGAAUUGCAUUUGAAACUGGCAGACUAGAGUACUGUAGAGGGGGGUAGAAUUUCAGGUGUAGCGGUGAAAUGCGUAGAGAUCUGAAGGAAUACCGGUGGCGAAGGCGGCCCCCUGGACAGAUACUGACACUCAGAUGCGAAAGCGUGGGGAGCAAACAGGAUUAGAUACCCUGGUAGUCCACGCCGUAAACGAUGUCUACUUGGAGGUUGUGGCCUUGAGCCGUGGCUUUCGGAGCUAACGCGUUAAGUAGACCGCCUGGGGAGUACGGUCGCAAGAUUAAAACUCAAAUGAAUUGACGGGGGCCCGCACAAGCGGUGGAGCAUGUGGUUUAAUUCGAUGCAACGCGAAGAACCUUACCUACUCUUGACAUCCAGAGAACUUUCCAGA